Molecule: long non-coding RNA, 4199 nt
Filed under: Panax ginseng (ginseng)
Lineage: Eukaryota; Viridiplantae; Streptophyta; Magnoliopsida; Apiales; Araliaceae
Description: long non-coding RNA (PGIN_LNC000946)
Source: RNAcentral
GCACAUUUAACUACUAAGUCUACUAGCAGAUUACAAUUUACAAUUACAAGCAUAUCCAAGUCCAACUGAACAUCAACUGACAUAUAAUUACAAGCACAUUCAUGAUUCAACUGAUCCAAAUGAGUACCUAUAAGUCCAUGAUUUCCUUACAAAACUACAAUCCAAAAUUUUAACUUGACAUAAAAGAGAGCCACAACAGGCAACAACAGACCAACAAGUUAGCAACAGUCUUGAAGCCCAACAACUAGCAGUAGCCCAAGUGCCAACAGCAGCAGCCCAACAACAGUCCUGAAGCAACAACAAAGCCACAAUUACUGAUGAGAUAUGAAGUUUGUCAAACAAAAUAACUAAGUUUUCAUUCAAAUUUGAAAUUCUUUUAACCCGUUAAAAGAACAUAAGUCACAAGGUGGGGGACAAUACAAGCACUAUGAAUUAAUUAAUUUUACAUUUUAAACAAUACAAGCAACACUAUAAGAUUCUACAUUAAGGUCCUAUAAACAAGACAACUGCUACAACUAUAAGUGUUCUGGAGUUAAAUUCCUGCUACAACUAAUGGUCAGAAAAUGGUUUCAAGAAUGGACUACAGAAUCAUAACAAGAAAUAAGGAAGGUGUUCAAUAGGGAAUCAUAACAACUCUGGCAAAAGGGAAUCAGUAUGAUUGAAGGAAUACUCCAACAAAACAAAUGGACUAAGGAAGGUGUUCAAUAGUUAAAAUAGAUUGAAUCCCAACAUCACACAACUGAUAUCUCAAUGGAAAGAAAGAGCUUGAGCAAGGCAUGACACUCAUUCAUUGAAUCGUAUUACCAUAGUGGAGGACAAACAUUGCAGUAAUAAUGAUAUCAACCUCCAAUAGUGUAUAUCUCAGAAAAAUACUUGUAAAAUCUAAUGAGUUCAUGAACUAAGCAAGAAAUAAUAGAAAAGUUUGCCAAGCAAAACUAAGUUCUACAUAUUACUACCAAGCAAGAAAUAAUAUCAUUCCAAGCAAAACUUAUCAGUUAUGUACAUCUACAUAUUACUGCCAAGUGACAUAUCUCCAUUAAAUUCCACCAUCCAUAUCCAAAACUUCCGCAAAUUCUAAGAACAUCAAAAGAAAAUAAAAAUUGUUAAAGAAAGUCAUUAACAUAUAAACAAUUAAAUAUUAUAAAUGAAAGCUAUAUAAUUUAAAAUGAAGGAUUACCUUUCUCAAUUGUUUUAAGUGAAUCUAAGUUCUCCUCCACAAACAUUGGUUGUUUGCUUGAACGAAGCCAAUCUUGAGCGCAAAUAAGAGCUUGUACCAUUCUAGGAGUUAAAGAACUCCUAAAUGGAUCAAGUACACGACCACCUGUGCUAAAUGCCGACUCGGAAGCAACGGUUGAUAUAGGAACCGCCAAUACAUCCUUAGCCAUUUGAGAAAGAAUGGGAAAUCUAGGAGAAUUAUUUUUCCACCAACCCAAAACAUUAUAUUUUGAAGUCGUUUGAUCAACAUGCUCACUCAAAUACUUAUCUAAUUCGGUAUUAUCACCUCCUAGAACAUCUGCAAUGUGUUCUACAAAUUUUUCACUCAGCCUUCUCCUUGACUUGUCUCGACCAUGCACAUCAAAACUUUCACUAGACACAUUAGAUUGUGCACUUUGGGAUGAUUGUGCACCUUGGGGUGCAUAUUUGAGACUAUACCAUUUAAACAAUUCAUCAAUGGCAUCACACACCGAUUUUAUCAUUUUGUUUGCCAUUUCAGUCCAACUCCCAUACAUUGCAUUGAAAGCAAAUUCCACAAAUGCAAAUUUAUGUCUAGGAUCUAAAACAACCGCAAUGUACAACAAUUUAUUUAUCAUCUCCACAUUCCCCCAAUAUUUAUCUAGUUUUGCUCUCAUCCUCAUCGCCAUUUCUCUCAUGCAAUAUUCAUGCUCAUUAUAUAACAAGUCAUUCAAAACAUCAUCAAGAUCAACAAAUUCAUGAAAAAAAGUAUUUGAUGUCACAUAAGAUGUACCCGAAACCUUCACUGUAAUGUCAAAGAAACACUUCAAGAAUACCACCAAUUGUUUCAUAACAUCCCAAUUUUCUAUGGUAGGCCACCCAUCACCCGAUUCCACUUCCAAUUUGAAUAAAGGGUCUUUGCUUGCAAGCCUAUUAAAAGCACGUUCAAAAUCUAUUGCCACAUUCAACAUAGAAUAAGUGGAGUUCCAUCUAGUGGACACAUCUAGGAUCAAUGAAGUAUUUUCCCCAAUUUUCUCAAUUUCAACACAUUCUUUGAAUUUCUUAAUCCUAGAUGGAGAUUGUCGCACCCACCUAACCAUAGAUCGAACACGAGAUAUCGAAGGAGUCACAUCUUUCAACCCAUCACAUACAACCAAAUUAAGUAUAUGAGCAACACACCUCACAUGGAGAAAUUUAUUAUCACAAAUGCUAUGACCCCAAACUUUCAAUUGAGUUUUCAAAUAGGAAAUUGCAACAUCAUUGGAACUAGCAUUAUCAACUGUGAUUGUGAAAAUUUUAUCAAUGCCCCAUUCCCUCAAAUAAUUUUCAACCGACAUACCUAUGUCUUCCCCUUUAUGACUAGUAAUUGGGACAAAGCUAAUAAUUUUCUUUUGCAUAUUCCACUUAUCAUCAACAUAAUGAGCAGUCAACACCAUGUAAUUAAUUCGUUGUAUGGAAGUCCAUGUAUCGGUAGUAAGACAAACCCUUUGCCUUGUAUUUUUGAAGUAAGCUUUCAAUUUCAAUUUCUCCUCUAAAAAGCGCUUCAAACAAUCUCUAGUUAUGAUGGUACGUGAAGGCACAUUGAAUUUUGGACAUGCAACCGACAUCAAGUAUUUAAAGCCCACAUUCUCCACAUGGCUAAAAGGAAGUUCAUCUACAAUUAUCAUAUAUGAAAUUGCCCUCCUAAUUAACUCUUGAUCAAAUUUCCAUAAACAAACACUAGUGGUUGAUUCCCCUUUCAACUCUUGACCCCUUUCUUUAAUACUUGAUUGUGGAAAAUUUAAUAGUGAUUGUUUUCUUUCCCUUAAUUGAAUAUUAGGAGGGUACAAUUUACAUCUUGCAUUAUGAUUUUUUAAACCACUUGUCCCAUUCUUUCCCGAGCCGACUUUUAAAACUUGACCACAAUAUUUACACUUUGCCUUUAUUUCAUUAUUUUGCUUAAAUCUUACAUAAUGUUCCCAUAUAGGAGCACGAGUCUUACAGAUUAUUUCCUCGAUCUCUUCAACUUCAAUUUGCUUUUGUGUUUCGCCUGCUUUGCGUGUCUCGCCUCCUCCAUUGUCUCCUUGAUUUCUUGGGACUUGGGUUGGAUUUGCAGUUUCUGAUAUUGGUAUAUUAUUGUCCAUAUUCUCCAUCACUGCAUAUAAAAACACAAACAAAAAUCACUAUAAACAUAGAUAAUAACUAAUCAUUCAUCCACACCAUCAUAAUCAUUUACUCCACCAUGAUCAAGCUCAACAUAGCCUUUUCAUUUACUGCAAAGCUAAUGGCAUACAAAUAACUGAUUCCCAUAAAUAAUUAAAUAUCAUUAGAUUGUACUCAUGAAUAUCUUAUAUCUGAUUUCAAGAAUCAUAAUUAGAGAGACUGAGAGAGUAUAUACAAAUCUAAUCAAGCUUUUAGUGGUAUAGAAGUAUAGAACAUAUAUAUAUAUAUAUAUAUAAUUCAAAUUAAAAAAAAAUGUUAACAUAAGUUCAUAUAAAAUCUGAAAUGGAACCAAAGUUUGAAACCCUAAAAUUGAAGUUAAAACAUGAAAACAGAGUGACAUAAAUUGAAGUUUAAAACCCUAAAAUUGAAGUUCAGAUCUUAAAUCAAACGAAUAGAAUGUAAAAUUACAUAAACCUAGCUGAAGAAUGCAUAUUAGAAGAUAGCCAGAGUUUGGAAUUAAAAAAAUUACCUAAGCAAAGCUAGCCGGAGACCGGAGCUCGGAGGGAGAGUCGGAGAGCCGGAGAGAAGAUAGCCGGAGCUCGGAGGGAGAGGCGGAGAGCCGAUAGCCUGAGGCUGAGAGUGAGAGACUGAGAUGAUCGUAGAUGGAGUAGGCGAGUAGCGAGUAGCGACUAGCGAAAACCAAGAAGUAGCUGAGAUCUAGACUGCUUGACAAGAUGGUGGUGUAAUGUUAGAUAAGUUUUGGUAACUUGUAACUGCAGAGUGACUGAGACUCUGAGAGACUAUGAGAGAGCGAAGUAGCGAACGAAGAAACCCUAGAUCUAUUUGGAAAGUGGUAAGUGACUAAGUCUGACUCUGAAGAAGAG